UACGAAGGGGGCUAGCGUUGUUCGGAAUUACUGGGCGUAAAGCGUGCGCAGGCGGCUUCUCAAGUCAGGGGUGAAAGCCCAGAGCUCAACUCUGGAAUUGCCUUUGAGACUGAGUGGCUUGAGUACGAGAGAGGUGAGUGGAAUUCCCAGUGUAGAGGUGAAAAUUCGUAGAUAUUGGGAAGAACACCGGUGGCGAAGGCGGCUACACUGGCUCGUAACUGACGCUCAUGACAACGACAGCGUGGGGGAUCAAACAGG
Molecule: ribosomal RNA, 258 nt
Filed under: uncultured bacterium
Lineage: Bacteria
Description: partial 16S ribosomal RNA
Rfam family: Bacterial small subunit ribosomal RNA
Source: RNAcentral